RNAcentral lists this ribosomal RNA (1939 nucleotides) under Symbiochloris symbiontica. RNAcentral's name for it is "partial 23S large subunit ribosomal RNA". It matches the Rfam family "Bacterial large subunit ribosomal RNA", at positions 689 to 2634 of the family's 2925-position model. Lineage: Eukaryota; Viridiplantae; Chlorophyta; Trebouxiophyceae; Trebouxiales; Trebouxiaceae. The record is from RNAcentral.
GUAUUGUAUGGUCAUAUAUCUUAGACCCGAACCCGGGUGAUCUAAUCUUGGUCAGGAUGAAGCUUGGGCAAAACCAAGUGGAGGUCCGAACUCGUCGAUGUUGAAAAAUCGUGAGAUGAACUAAGAUUAGCGGUGAAAUGCCAAUCGAACUCGGAGCUAGCUGGUUCUCCCCGAAAUGCGUUGAGGCGCAGCGGUUGCUGAGAACUAUUAACGGGUAAAGCACUGUUUUGGUGCGGGCUGCGCAAGCGGUACCAAAUCAUGACAAACUCAGAAUAGUUGAUAGUAUUCCAGUAACCAGUGGGAGCAUGGGGGAUAAGCUCCAUGCUCAAAAGGGAAAGAGCCCAGAUCACCAGCUAAGGCCCCAAAAUAAUAUCUUAGUGUUAAAGGAUGUGAGAUUGCAGAAACAGCCAGGAGGUUUGCUUAGAGGCAGCUAUCCUUUAAAGAGUGCGUAAUAGCUCACUGGUAAAGCGGUUUUGCGCCUACAAUGUCCGGGGCUAAGUUAUUUGCCGAAGCUGUGGGUGUGAUUUGCACGUAAUAAAUUUGUAGAAUUUAUUCUAUUCAAAAAAAAAAUGCAUUUUACGCGGUAGGGGAGCGUUCCGUAAAAGUUUACGGAAGUGAGAAUGUUGGCUUGAGUAACGAAAACAUAGGUGAGAAUCCUAUGCCCCGAAAACCUAAGGUUUCCGACGCCAGGUUCGUCCACGUCGGGUUAGUCAGGACCUAAGACUAGGCCGUUAGGCGUCGUCGAUGGAAAGCAGGUUAAUAUUCCUGCACUUAUUGUAAUGUUGAGUACCGAGGGACGGAUCUUUUCACUGUACUUAAUUGGUACACAACAGUGAUUCCCAAAAGAACCUUUAAAAAAAAAUCGGUUCUAGGGUUGAUUCCAAGAAAAGCUUGAACUACUAACAAUAUAUUUUCAAAAACUAAAUAAUAAUCAUUACAAGACCUGUACCUAAAACCGACACAGGUAGGUUGGUAGAGAAUACUAAGGGGCGCGAGAUAACUCUCUCUAAGGAACUCGGCAAAUUGGCUCUGUAACUUCGGGAUAAGGAGUGCUGACACCUUAGGUGUUAGCCGCAGUGACCAGACCCAGCCGACUGUUUAAUAAAAACACAGGUCUCCGCUAAGUCGCAAGACGAUCCAUGGGGGCUGACGCCUGCCCGGUGCUGGAAGGUUAAGGAUGUUGGUUAUUCAUACUUGAUAUGGAGAAGCUGACUACCGAAGCCCCAGUGAACGGCGGCCAUAACUAUGAUGGUCCUAUGGUAGCGAAAUUCCUUGUCAGGUAAAUUCUGACCCGCACGAAUGGUGUAACGAUCUGGGUGCUGUCUCGGAGAGAGACUCGGUGAAAUAGAAAUGUCUGUGAAGAUGCGGACUAUUUACAUCUGGACAGAAAGACCCUAUGAAGCUUUACUCUAACUUGGGAUUGGGUCUGGGCUCUUGGUGCGCAGUCUAGGUGGGAGGCGAUGAUAGCUUUCUUUCGGGAAAGUUGGAGCCACUAGUGAGAGACCACUCUCCAAGAGCUAAGGCCCUAAAGUUGUUCCUUGAAUCAGGACAGCUAACAGUUCCAGGCGGGGAGUUUUUCUGGGGCGGAAGCCUCCUAAAAGGUAACGGAGGCGCGCAAAGGUUCCCUCAUACUGGACGGAAAUCAGUUGUAGAGUGUAAAGGCAUAAGGGAGCUUGACUGGAAGACCUACAAGUCGAUCAGAGGCGAAAGCCGGCCUUAGUGAUCCGACGAUUCCGCGUGGAAGGGUCGUCGCUCAACGAAUAAAAGUUACUCUAGGGAUAACAGGCUAAUUUUCCCCAAGAGUUCACAUCGACGGGAAAGUUUGGCACCUCGAUGUCGGCUCGUCGCAACCUGGUGCGGUAGUACGUGCCAAGGGUUGGGCUGUUCGCCCAUGAAAGCGGUACGUGAGCUGGGUUAAGAACGUCGUGAGACAGUUCGG